UCAAGUAAUUAAGUGCAUGUGGUGGAUGCCUUGGCAGUCAGAGGCGAUGAAAGACGUGAUAGCCUGCGAAAAGCUCCGGGGAGGCGGCAAAUAUCCUUUGAUCCGGAGAUGUCUGAAUGGGGGAACCCACCUACUUUAAGGUAGGUAUUGCAACAUGAAUACAUAGUGUUGCAAGGCGAACGAGGGGAAGUGAAACAUCUCAGUACCCUUAGGAAAAGAAAUCAAUUGAGAUUCCCUCAGUAGCGGCGAGCGAACGGGGAUCAGCCCAUUAAGUUAUGUGUGUUUUAGUGGAACGCUCUGGGAGGUGCGAACGUAGAGGGUGAUAUUCCCGUACACGAAAGGGCACACAUAAUGAUGACGAGUAGGGCGAGGCACGUGAAACCUUGUCUGAAUAUGGGGGGACUAUCCUCCAAGGCUAAAUACUCCUGACUGACCGAUAGUGAACCAGUACCGUGAGGGAAAGGCGAAAAGGACCCCUGUGAGGGGAGUGAAAUAGAUCCUGAAACCGCAUGCAUACAAGCAGUGGGAGCACCUUCGUGGUGUGACUGCGUACCUUUUGUAUAAUGGGUCAGCGACUUAUAUUCAGUAGCGAGGUUAACCGUAUAGGGGAGCCGUAGAGAAAUCGAGUCUUAAUAGGGCGUUUAGUUGCUGGGUAUAGACCCGAAACCAGGCGAUCUAUCCAUGAGCAGGUUGAAGGUUGGGUAACACUAACUGGAGGACCGAACCCACUGUCGUUGAAAAGCCAGGGGAUGACUUGUGGAUAGGGGUGAAAGGCUAAUCAAGCCUGGUGAUAGCUGGUUCUCCCCGAAAGCUAUUUAGGUAGCGCCUCGGACGAAUACCAUAGGGGGUAGAGCACUGUUUCGGCUAGGGGGUCAUCCCGACUUACCAAACCGAUGCAAACUCCGAAUACCUAUGAGUACUAUCCGGGAGACAGACUGCGGGUGCUAACGUCCGUAGUCAAGAGGAAAACAAUCCAGACCGCCAGCUAAGGCCCCAAAAUCAUAGUUAAGUGGGAAACGAUGUGGGAAGGCAUAGACAGCUAGGAGGUUGGCUUAGAAGCAGCCACCCUUUAAAGAAAGCGUAAUAGCUCACUAGUCGAGUCGGCCUGCGCGGAAGAUGUAACGGGGCUAAAACUAUGUGCCGAAGCUGCGGAUGUAUACUUUGUAUACGUGGUAGGGGAGCGUUCUGUAAGCCGAUGAAGGUGUGUUGAGAAGCAUGCUGGAGGUAUCAGAAGUGCGAAUGCUGACGUGAGUAACGACAAAACGGGUGAAAAACCCGUUCGCCGAAAGACCAAGGGUUCCAGUCCAACGUUAAUCGGGGCUGGGUGAGUCGACCCCUAAGGCGAGGCCGAAAGGCGUAGUCGAUGGGAAAAUGGUUAAUAUUCCAUUACUUCUGUGUAAUGCGAUGAGAGGACGGAGAAGGCUAAAUCAGCCUGGCGUUGGUUGUCCAGGUGAAAGGAUGUAGGCAUGUAUCUUAGGCAAAUCCGGGGUACUCUAUGCUGAGAUCUGAUAGCAAGCUGUACUUGUACAGCGAAGUGGUUGAUGCCAUGCUUCCAGGAAAAGUCUCUAAGCUUCAGUUACACAGGAAUCGUACCCGAAACCGACACAGGUGGUCAGGUCGAGUAGACCAAGGCGCUUGAGAGAACUCUGCUGAAGGAACUAGGCAAAAUGGUACCGUAACUUCGGGAGAAGGUACGCUGUUGUUGGUGAUGGAACUCGCUUCCUGAGCUGACGACAGCCGCAGAAACCAGGCCGCUGCAACUGUUUAUUAAAAACAUAGCACUCUGCAAACACGAAAGUGGACGUAUAGGGUGUGAUGCCUGCCCGGUGCUGGAAGGUUAAUUGAUGGGGUUAGCGUAAGCGAAGCUCUUGAUCGAAGCCCCAGUAAACGGCGGCCGUAACUAUAACGGUCCUAAGGUAGCGAAAUUCCUUGUCGGGUAAGUUCCGACCUGCACGAAUGGCAUAAUGAUGGCGGCGCUGUCUCCAGCAGAGGCUCAGUGAAAUCGAAAUCGCUGUGAAGAUGCAGUGUACCCGCGGCUAGACGGAAAGACCCCGUGAACCUUUACUGCAGCUUGACACUGAACUUUGACCUUACUUGUGUAGGAUAGGUGGGAGGCUUUGAAGCUGGAACGCUAGUUCCAGUGGAGCCGUCCUUGAAAUACCACCCUGGUAAUGUUGAGGUUCUAACUCUGUCCCGUGAUCCGGGACGAGGACCGUGUCUGGUGGGUAGUUUGACUGGGGCGGUCUCCUCCUAAAGAGUAACGGAGGAGUACGAAGGUGCGCUCAGCGUGGUCGGAAAUCACGCGUAGAGUAUAAAGGCAAAAGCGCGCUUAACUGCGAGACCCACAAGUCGAGCAGGUACGAAAGUAGGUCUUAGUGAUCCGGUGGUUCUGUAUGGAAGGGCCAUCGCUCAACGGAUAAAAGGUACUCUGGGGAUAACAGGCUGAUACCGCCCAAGAGUUCAUAUCGACGGCGGUGUUUGGCACCUCGAUGUCGGCUCAUCUCAUCCUGGGGCUGAAGCAGGUCCCAAGGGUAUGGCUGUUCGCCAUUUAAAGAGGUACGCGAGCUGGGUUUAGAACGUCGUGAGACAGUUCGGUCCCUAUCUACCGUGGGCGCUGGAAAUUUGAGAGGAUCUGCUCCUAGUACGAGAGGACCAGAGUGGACGAACCUCUGGUGUACCGGUUGUGACGCCAGUCGCAUCGCCGGGUAGCUAUGUUCGGAAGGGAUAACCGCUGAAAGCAUCUAAGCGGGAAGCCUACCUCAAGAUAAGAUUUCCCUAGGACUUUAUGUCCUCUAAAGAGCCGUUCGAGACUAGGACGUUGAUAGGUUGGAUGUGGAAGCAUAGUGAUAUGUGAAGCUGACCAAUACUAAUUGCUCGUGAGGCUUGACUAU
RNAcentral lists this ribosomal RNA (2891 nucleotides) under Acinetobacter baumannii AB5711. RNAcentral describes it as "bacterial LSU rRNA". It matches the Rfam family "Bacterial large subunit ribosomal RNA". Lineage: Bacteria; Pseudomonadati; Pseudomonadota; Gammaproteobacteria; Moraxellales; Moraxellaceae. The record is from RNAcentral.